UACGUAGGUGGCAAGCGUUGUCCGGAUUUAUUGGGUUUAAAGGGUGCGUAGGUGGCUCUGUAAGUCAGUGGUGAAAUAUCUCAGCUUAACUGAGAGGGUGCCAUUGAUACUGCAGGGCUUGAGUACAGAUGAGGUAGGCGGAAUUGACGGUGUAGCGGUGAAAUGCAUAGAUAUCGUCAAGAACACCGAUAGCGAAGGCAGCUUACCGAGCUGUAACUGACACUGAGGCACGAAAGUGUGGGGAUCAAACAGG
RNAcentral lists this ribosomal RNA (253 nucleotides) under uncultured bacterium. Its description in RNAcentral is "partial 16S ribosomal RNA". It matches the Rfam family "Bacterial small subunit ribosomal RNA", at positions 524 to 776 of the family's 1533-position model. The record is from RNAcentral.